This 445-nucleotide ribosomal RNA is filed under the name uncultured bacterium. RNAcentral describes it as "bacterial SSU rRNA". It matches the Rfam family "Bacterial small subunit ribosomal RNA", at positions 330 to 792 of the family's 1533-position model. The record is from RNAcentral.
UCCAGACUCCUACGGGAGGCAGCAGUGGGGGAUAUUGCACAAUGGGGGAAACCCUGAUGCAGCAACGCCGCGUGAGUGAAGAAGUAUUUCGGUAUGUAAAGCUCUAUCAGCAGGGAAGAGAAUGACGGUACCUGACUAAGAAGCCCCGGCUAACUACGUGCCAGCAGCCGCGGCAAUACGUAGGGGGCGAGCGUUAUCCGGAUUUACUGGGUGUAAAGGGAGCGUAGACGGCUGGUCAAGUCUGAAGUGAAAGCCCGGGGCUUAACCCCGGAACGGCUUUGGAAACUGAGCAGCUAGAGUGCUGGAGAGGUAAGCGGAAUUCCUAGUGUAGCGGUGAAAUGCGUAGAUAUUAGGAGGAACACCAGUGGCGAAGGCGGCUUACUGGACAGUAACUGACGUUGAGGCUCGAAAGCGUGGGGAGCAAACAGGAUUAGAUACCCUCGUA